RNAcentral lists this ribosomal RNA (2265 nucleotides) under human gut metagenome. RNAcentral's name for it is "bacterial LSU rRNA". It matches the Rfam family "Bacterial large subunit ribosomal RNA", at positions 578 to 2925 of the family's 2925-position model. The record is from RNAcentral.
AGCACGUCAACGUGUGAUAUGGUACCUUUUGUAGAAUGGUCCGGCGAGUGAAUGUCACUAGCGAGGUUAAGAACUUAAGGUUUGCAGCCGAAGCGAAAGCGAGUCUUAAUAGGGCGAGUUUAGUUAGUGGUAUUCGACCCGAAACCGAGUGACCUAGCCAUGAGCAGGCUGAAGUGGAGGUAAAACUCCAUGGAGGGCCGAACCCACUCCCGUUGAAAUGGUAGGGGAUGACUUGUGGCUAGCGGAGAAAUUCCAAUCGAACUCGGAGAUAGCUGGUUCUCUCCGAAAUAGCUUUAGGGCUAGCCUCAAUUAACAUUACCGCAGGUAAAGCACUGAAUGGGCUAGGGGGCGAAAGCUUACUGAACCCUAUCAAACUCAGAAUGGCGGAUAAUGAAUAAUUGGGAGUCACACUACGUGAGAUAAGUUUCGUGGUGGAAAGGGAAACAGCCCAGACCCACAGCUAAGGUCCCAAAGUACAGUUAAGUGGAAAAGGAUGUGAAGUUGCGCAGACAACCAGGAUGUUGGCUCAGAAGCAGCCACUCAUUCAAAGAGUGCGUAAUAGCUCACUGGUCGAGUGAUUUUGCGCCGAAAAUUUAACGGGGCUAAACUGUACACCGAAGCUUGGGAAUAUACCAUAUGGUAUGUUGGUAGGAGAGCGUCGUAUGCGGGGUGAAGUCGUAGCGAAAGCGGCGGUGGACUGCAUAGGAGUGAGAAUGCCGGAAUGAGUAGCGAGAAUUAUGUGAGAAUCAUAAUGGCCGAAAGACUAAGGUUUUAGAAGGAAGGUUCGUCCGCUUCUAGUUAGCCGGGAGCUAAGGCGAGGCCGAAAGGCGUAGUCGAUGCACAUACGGUUGAGAUUCCGUAGCCACCUUAAAUUUAAACUAAGGGACACAUUGAAAGGGAAUAACCCAGGCGUUGGUUGACCUGGGCGUAAGGGAACGAAAAUAAGUAGUGAAGUAUUCUUGGACAGUGGCGAGAAAAGCUUAGUGUAUAUUAUUAGGGUGCCCGUACUGCAAACCGACACAGGUAGUCAGGAAGAGAAUUCUAAGGCCAUCGGGAGAAGCGUUGUUAAGGAACUCGGCAAAUUGACCCCGUAACUUCGGAAUAAGGGGUGCUCACGAGAGUGAGCCGCAGUGAAUAGGUCCAGGCGACUGUUUAUCAAAAACACAGCUCUCUGCUAAAUCGAAAGAUGACGUAUAGGGGGUGACACCUGCCCGGUGCUGGAAGGUUAAGAGGAGGAGUGCAAGCCCCGAAUCGAAGCCCCAGUAAACGGCGGCCGUAACUAUAACGGUCCUAAGGUAGCGAAAUUCCUUGUCGGGUAAGUUCCGACCCGCACGAAUGGUGUAACGAUCUGGGCACUGUCUCAACUACCCACCCGGCGAAAUUGUAGUACCGGUGAAGAUGCCGGUUACCCGCGGCAAGACGGAAAGACCCCAUGGAGCUUUACUGUAACUUAAUAUUGGGUCUCGGUACUUUAUGUACAGGAUAGGCGGGAGACUUGGAAACUAGCACGCCAGUGUUAGCGGAGUCAUCCUUGGGAUACCGCUCUUAAGGUAUUGAGAUUCUAACCUGCAGCCUUGAAUCAGGUUGGGGGACAUUGUUAGGUGGGCAGUUUGACUGGGGCGGUCGCCUCCAAAAGAGUAACGGAGGCGCUCAAAGGUUCGCUCAGCAUGGACGGAAACCAUGCCAGAGAGUGUAAACGCAUAAGCGAGCCUAACUGCGAGACUGACGGGUCGAGCAGUAACGAAAGUUGGAGUUAGUGAUCCGGCGGUAUGUGAGUGGAAAUGCCGUCGCUCAACGGAUAAAAGCUACCCUGGGGAUAACAGGCUGAUCUCCCCCAAGAGUCCACAUCGACGGGGAGGUUUGGCACCUCGAUGUCGGCUCAUCACAUCCUGGGGCUGUAUUCGGUCCCAAGGGUUCGGCUGUUCGCCGAUUAAAGUGGUACGCGAGCUGGGUUCAGAACGUCGUGAGACAGUUCGGUCCCUAUCUGUCGUGGGCGUAGGAUAUUUGAGGAGCGCUGUUCCUAGUACGAGAGGACCGGAAUGGACGCACCGCUGGUGUAUCGGUUGUCAUGCCAAUGGCACGGCCGAGCAGCUAUGUGCGGAUCGGAUAAACGCUGAAAGCAUCUAAGCGUGAAGCCGUCUCCAAGAUAAGAUAUCCCACUGUUUACAGUUAAGACCCCUUGUAGACUACGAGGUUGAUAGGUUGGAUGUGUAAGUACAGUGAUGUAUUUAGCUAGCCAAUACUAAUAGGUCGAGGGCUUGACCU